UCCUUUGUCACUACUGAGCCCAAAAGUGCACGGGCAGCAAGUUACCAAAUCGCCUUCCACAAGGUCUACAAACCCAUCUGGGACACAUGGCAGGGACCAACACGCUUCUAGACUUCCCAUGUUCCAAGUCCACUUCUGCCGGCAGAAUAGAAACCUCGUCAGUUAUCACAACUCACAAACACCAAAAUCCUAGUUUCGCCAUGAACACUGAAAUUAUGAACUACUUCAAAAUAAUAGCUUCCGUGGUGACCAGAGCAACAAAUUUUACUAGGUUUGCCUUGAAGAUUUGAAAUAUCCACAGCACCUACGUGAAUUUGCUGUGGUGCCCCAGGCUCUACCUCACUGCACAGUUUGGAAACCACAGCUUUCAGUUGUCUUCUUUUUUUAAAAUUAUUUUUAUUUUUUGAGAUGGAGUCUUGCUCUGUCAACCAGGCUGGAGUGCAGUGGCGCGAUCUCCACCUGCUGGGUUCAAGCAAUUCUUGUGCCUCAGCCUUCCAAGUAGCUGGGGUUACAGGAGCCCACCGCAACGCCUGGUUAAUUUUUGUAUUUUUAGUAGAGACUGGGUUUUGCCCUGUCGGCCAGGCUAGUCUCGAACUCCUGUCCUCAAGUGAUCCACCCACCUCAGCCUCCCAAAGUGCUGGGAUUACAAUGUGAGCUACCGUGCCCAGCCUCAGUUGUCUUCUGACUCUGAGAAGUUAAGAUUCAACUGAUUUUUAAACUUGAGGUUUGAAAUUCCUUACUAUCCACUUUUGGGACCCACUGCACUAUCAGAGAAAAGCAAGAGUAUCAGAAACACAGGUGACUGUGGAUGGAAGAGCAGUAAGCAGUUGAAGUACUUUGCUGUUUUUCCCGUAGGGGAGGACAAAUGGAUUCCUGAGGUGCAGGGCAAUCAACAGAUGAGAUCCAAGAGUCAGAACCCUGGAAUGGACCACCAGAACUUUCCCAUGGAGCCCCAGGACUUCUUCCCCCAAUUCCUGCUGUUUCUCCUCCUCCCUGUAGCAGGCUUCUUAAAGCAGGUAGUUUGACCUGCUGAGCAUCACAUUGCAUAAAACAAUGCCGGAAGACUUGAGCAAUGGUGACUUACCAAGACAGCUGGCUGCCUAUGUUUAUGGCAUUUGGAAUCCACCGGGAACACAUACAUUUGUCACAGUGUGUUCCCGAAAUAAAUGAGGCUGUCUCCCAACUGGCCCCAUAUAAUCAACGCAGCCCAGCCCCACAUAGCUACUCCAAUGAAUAAUGCUUUGUUUGCCAAAUGCAAUGGGAACCUACCACAGGCCAGGGUGCUUCCAACAACAACAACAACAAGAAACUAAAGACAGAUGAAAAAGCCUCACAGCUUGCGGUGUUGACAGUAUUCUAGAAGACCCUACACCCCUGUGGCUUCUCGAUGACUAAUGUGGAGCCAGCAUCUGUCAGCACAAACUCAGAGUGAUUACCCAGAAAUAGGUAUCCUUCUAAUUAAAAUAUCUGACCAUGUCCCCAUCAGCCACUUGCCUCAUUUGGGACACCACCAACCAUCCUGCACGGCUGCCCAUGUUUCUGUUUCUCCAGCCCAAGCAUGCAGUUUCAGUAGGUCCUUCAGAGGCUGCCUGAAAGGAGCUCCUGAAUUUCACAGACAAAUCCAGACCCCUGUGUGGAAAGCCUGCGGUGGUGUUCUCCGUCUUCCCACAGGACUCCCUGCAGCCAGGAAUUCUAGGGGAGCACCUGACGCGAGGUAUACGCCCAGAUGGCCUGAAGUAACUGAAGAAUCACAAAAGAAGUGAAAAUGUCCUGCCCCGCCUUAACUGAUGACAUUCCACCACAAAGGAAGUGUCAAUGGCUGGUCCUUGCCUUAACUGAUGACAUUCCACCGCAAAAGAAGUGAAAAUGGCCGGUCCUUGCCUUAACUGAUGACAUUACACCACAAAAGAAGUGAAAAUGGCCGGUCCUUGCCUUAAGUGAUGGCAUUACCUUGUGAAAGUCCUUUUCCUGGCUCAUUCUGGCUCAAAAUCACCCCCACUGAGCACCUUGUGACCCCCACUCCUGCCCGCCAGGGAACAAUCCCCCUUUGACUGUAAUUUUCCUUUACCUACCCAAAUCUUAUAAAAUGGCCCCACCCCUAUCUCCCUUUGCUGACUCUCUUUUUGGACUCAGCCUGCCUGCAUCCAGGUGAUUAAAAGCUUUUAUUGCUCACACA
Molecule: long non-coding RNA, 2176 nt
Filed under: Homo sapiens (human)
Lineage: Eukaryota; Metazoa; Chordata; Mammalia; Primates; Hominidae
Description: HSALNT0024972
Source: RNAcentral